CCUACGGGAGGCUGCAGUGGGGAAUAUUGCACAAUGGGCGCAAGCCUGAUGCAGCCAUGCCGCGUGUGUGAAGAAGGCCUUCGGGUUGUAAAGCACUUUCAGCGGGGAGGAAGGCGGUGAGGGUAAUAACCUCAUCGAUUGACGUUACCCGCAGAAGAAGCACCGGCUAACUCCGUGCCAGCAGCCGCGGUAAUACGGAGGGUGCAAGCGUUAAUCGGAAUUACUGGGCGUAAAGCGCACGCAGGCGGUCUGUCAAGUCGGAUGUGAAAUCCCCGGGCUCAACCUGGGAACUGCAUUCGAAACUGGCAGGCUAGAGUCUUGUAGAGGGGGGUAGAAUUCCAGGUGUAGCGGUGAAAUGCGUAGAGAUCUGGAGGAAUACCGGUGGCGAAGGCGGCCCCCUGGACAAAGACUGACGCUCAGGUGCGAAAGCGUGGGGAGCAAACAGGAUUAGAUACCCUUGUAGUC
Molecule: ribosomal RNA, 465 nt
Filed under: uncultured Klebsiella sp.
Lineage: Bacteria; Pseudomonadati; Pseudomonadota; Gammaproteobacteria; Enterobacterales; Enterobacteriaceae
Description: bacterial SSU rRNA
Rfam family: Bacterial small subunit ribosomal RNA
Source: RNAcentral